Molecule: long non-coding RNA, 509 nt
Organism: Triticum dicoccoides
Lineage: Eukaryota; Viridiplantae; Streptophyta; Magnoliopsida; Poales; Poaceae
Exons: 3
Source: RefSeq, a predicted model, not a curated record
ACCACCGCUGGUCUCCGGUCUCUUCUCUCCGGCCCCCAUCACCGGAUACACCCCACCACUACCGGUCUCCCUUCUCCCGUCCCCAUCGCCUCCCAUCGUCUCCCACUUCGUCACGGUAACUUUGCUCUUCCUCUCUGCCCUGCUCCUUGCCUUAAUUUCUCCUCUUUGGUGAUCCCAGAGCGGGUAGUUGUAGAAAUCUUGCUGACCUGCUGCUGCUCUGUUCACCUCAUUUCGCAAGUAUCCAUUGGCCAUCGUGGGGUUGUUUUUCAUCCGGUAACUGCAUCAUCUCUCCUUUUGUCCAGAACAACUACUCCAUUUGUUGUGCUUGAACCUGUCGUAUUAUCCAUCCGUGGUUGAAGUUGUAGGUCACUGGUAGAAGCCUCUUUUGACAAAUCAUUUUUGCGCCCAUUGUAACUAUUGCUUUCAUAUUGAGAAAUCUUUGUGGCGGAAGGAAGGAAGGAAGGAAGCCAUAUAACAUAGCUGCAGUGAGGUGCAAGGCAAACCCUAAG